ACGCUGGCGGCAGGCCUAACACAUGCAAGUCGAGCGGUAGAGAGAAGCUUGCUUCUCUUGAGAGCGGCGGACGGGUGAGUAAUGCCUAGGAAUCUGCCUGGUAGUGGGGGAUAACGUUCGGAAACGGACGCUAAUACCGCAUACGUCCUACGGGAGAAAGCAGGGGACCUUCGGGCCUUGCGCUAUCAGAUGAGCCUAGGUCGGAUUAGCUAGUUGGUGGGGUAAUGGCUCACCAAGGCGACGAUCCGUAACUGGUCUGAGAGGAUGGUCAGUCACACUGGAACUGAGACACGGUCCAGACUCCUACGGGAGGCAGCAGUGGGGAAUAUUGGACAAUGGGCGAAAGCCUGAUCCAGCCAUGCCGCGUGUGUGAAGAAGGUCUUCGGAUUGUAAAGCACUUUAAGUUGGGAGGAAGGGCAGUUGCCUAAUACGUAACUGUUUUGACGUUACCGACAGAAUAAGCACCGGCUAACUCUGUGCCAGCAGCCGCGGUAAUACAGAGGGUGCAAGCGUUAAUCGGAAUUACUGGGCGUAAAGCGCGCGUAGGUGGUUUGUUAAGUUGGAUGUGAAAUCCCCGGGCUCAACCUGGGAACUGCAUUCAAAACUGACUGACUAGAGUAUGGUAGAGGGUGGUGGAAUUUCCUGUGUAGCGGUGAAAUGCGUAGAUAUAGGAAGGAACACCAGUGGCGAAGGCGACCACCUGGACUGAUACUGACACUGAGGUGCGAAAGCGUGGGGAGCAAAC
RNAcentral lists this ribosomal RNA (745 nucleotides) under uncultured bacterium. Its description in RNAcentral is "bacterial SSU rRNA". It matches the Rfam family "Bacterial small subunit ribosomal RNA", at positions 33 to 773 of the family's 1533-position model. The record is from RNAcentral.